RNAcentral lists this ribosomal RNA (286 nucleotides) under Staphylococcus epidermidis. Its description in RNAcentral is "partial 16S ribosomal RNA". It matches the Rfam family "Bacterial small subunit ribosomal RNA", at positions 1248 to 1533 of the family's 1533-position model. Lineage: Bacteria; Bacillati; Bacillota; Bacilli; Caryophanales; Staphylococcaceae. The record is from RNAcentral.
AGCGAAACCGCGAGGUCAAGCAAAUCCCAUAAAGUUGUUCUCAGUUCGGAUUGUAGUCUGCAACUCGACUAUAUGAAGCUGGAAUCGCUAGUAAUCGUAGAUCAGCAUGCUACGGUGAAUACGUUCCCGGGUCUUGUACACACCGCCCGUCACACCACGAGAGUUUGUAACACCCGAAGCCGGUGGAGUAACCAUUUGGAGCUAGCCGUCGAAGGUGGGACAAAUGAUUGGGGUGAAGUCGUAACAAGGUAGCCGUAUCGGAAGGUGCGGCUGGAUCACCUCCUUU